RNAcentral lists this ribosomal RNA (1436 nucleotides) under uncultured organism. RNAcentral describes it as "SSU rRNA". It matches the Rfam family "Bacterial small subunit ribosomal RNA". The record is from RNAcentral.
GGGGGCUUAACACAUGCAAGUCGAGGGGCAGCAUGGUCUUAGCUUGCUAAGGCCGAUGGCGACCGGCGCACGGGUGAGUAACACGUAUCCAACCUGCCGUCUACUCUUGGACAGCCUUCUGAAAGGAAGAUUAAUACAAGAUGGCAUCAUGAGUCCGCAUGUUCACAUGAUUAAAGGUAUUCCGGUAGACGAUGGGGAUGCGUUCCAUUAGAUAGUAGGCGGGGUAACGGCCCACCUAGUCUUCGAUGGAUAGGGGUUCUGAGAGGAAGGUCCCCCACAUUGGAACUGAGACACGGUCCAAACUCCUACGGGAGGCAGCAGUGAGGAAUAUUGGUCAAUGGGCGAGAGCCUGAACCAGCCAAGUAGCGUGAAGGAUGACUGCCCUAUGGGUUGUAAACUUCUUUUAUAAAGGAAUAAAGUCGGGUAUGGAUACCCGUUUGCAUGUACUUUAUGAAUAAGGAUCGGCUAACUCCGUGCCAGCAGCCGCGGUAAUACGGAGGAUCCGAGCGUUAUCCGGAUUUAUUGGGUUUAAAGGGAGCGUAGAUGGAUGUUUAAGUCAGUUGUGAAAGUUUGCGGCUCAACCGUAAAAUUGCAGUUGAUACUGGAUAUCUUGAGUGCAGUUGAGGCAGGCGGAAUUCGUGGUGUAGCGGUGAAAUGCUUAGAUAUCACGAAGAACUCCGAUUGCGAAGGCAGCCUGCUAAGCUGCAACUGACAUUGAGGCUCGAAAGUGUGGGUAUCAAACAGGAUUAGAUACCCUGGUAGUCCACACGGUAAACGAUGAAUACUCGCUGUUUGCGAUAUACUGCAAGCGGCCAAGCGAAAGCGUUAAGUAUUCCACCUGGGGAGUACGCCGGCAACGGUGAAACUCAAAGGAAUUGACGGGGGCCCGCACAAGCGGAGGAACAUGUGGUUUAAUUCGAUGAUACGCGAGGAACCUUACCCGGGCUUAAAUUGCAGAUGAAUUACGGUGAAAGCCGUAAGCCGCAAGGCAUCUGUGAAGGUGCUGCAUGGUUGUCGUCAGCUCGUGCCGUGAGGUGUCGGCUUAAGUGUCAUAACGAGCGCAACCCUUGUUGUCAGUUACUAACAGGUUCCGCUGAGGACUCUGACAAGACUGCCAUCGUAAGAUGUGAGGAAGGUGGGGAUGACGUCAAAUCAGCACGGCCCUUACGUCCGGGGCUACACACGUGUUACAAUGGGGGGUACAGAGGGCCGCUACCACGCGAGUGGAUGCCAAUCCCCAAAACCUCUCUCAGUUCGGACUGGAGUCUGCAACCCGACUCCACGAAGCUGGAUUCGCUAGUAAUCGCGCAUCAGCCACGGCGCGGUGAAUACGUUCCCGGGCCUUGUACACACCGCCCGUCAAGCCAUGGGAGCCGGGGGUACCUGAAGUGCGUAACCGCGAGGAGCGCCCUAGGGUAAAACUGGUGACUGGGGCU